RNAcentral lists this small RNA (826 nucleotides) under Pan troglodytes (chimpanzee). RNAcentral describes it as "sense intronic". The record is from RNAcentral. Lineage: Eukaryota; Metazoa; Chordata; Mammalia; Primates; Hominidae.
AAUUGUAUCUGUGUAAUGUUAAAACAAAUGAAAUAAAAUAGAAGGAAAAACUUUCUGAGUUUCAAAAACAACAGACCAGUACUCUAAAGAACUCUUUAAAACAAUUAACUGUUAGGAUUGCAGUUAUGAUUGGAUAUUAUUUAAUUCUGUUUCUGAUGUGGGGUUCCUCCACUGUGUUCUGUGUGCUAUUAAUAUUUACCAUUGCAGAAGCUUCAUUCAGUGUUGAAAAUGAAUGCUUAGUGGAUCUGUGCCUCUUAUGCAUAUGUUACAAAUUAUCUGGAGUUCCUAAUCAAUGCAGAGUUCCCCUCCCCUCCAAUUGUUCUAAAUAAUUGAAAGAUGUCUGCUGUGGAAAAAGGCAUGUAUUUAAAUCUGUAUGAUUCUCAACCAUCUUUAGUUGGGAAAGGUCCUUGAAAGCCAAUGGAAAUACUUUUUUUUUUUCUUGGCACUAAUCAAGUGAGUGUUACCUUUUCACUUAGUAGGAUGUGUUGUUACGCUAGUAAAAUAGAAACCUGUGUUUAUUCUCAGGUAUUUUAGAAACAACAGCCAUCAUUUUAUUUUAUGUGUGUGUUCUUGGCUGUAUUCAUAAAUUAUAUAUUUUGGGCUAUCAAAUAUUACUUCAUUCAAUAUAAAUAACAAUAGUAGAAGUUGUUUACUUAGAUAUGCUUUCUAGUUGCGUUUUCUCAGCCUAUGUAAGACUACUUUGUUGUAAUAGCCUUUGAAAUUUACAGUACUGUCUCUCUACUAUCUUCAGAUUACUUGAUUCAAAUAAACCAAUUAUGUUUGUAAUUGAUAUUAAUAAAACCAGAAUAAAAGUUCAUAUCUACCC